This 468-nucleotide ribosomal RNA is filed under the name uncultured bacterium. Its description in RNAcentral is "partial 16S ribosomal RNA". It matches the Rfam family "Bacterial small subunit ribosomal RNA", at positions 28 to 507 of the family's 1533-position model. The record is from RNAcentral.
GACGAACGCUGGCGGCGUGCUUAACACAUGCAAGUCGAACGGAAAGGCCCUGCUUUUGUGGGGUGCUCGAGUGGCGAACGGGUGAGUAACACGUGAGUAACCUGCCCUUUACUUUGGGAUAACUUCAGGAAACUGGGGCUAAUACCGGAUAGGAGCUCCUGCUGCAUGGUGGGGGUUGGAAAGUUUCGGCGGUUGGGGAUGGACUCGCGGCUUAUCAGCUUGUUGGUGGGGUAGUGGCUUACCAAGGCUUUGACGGGUAGCCGGCCUGAGAGGGUGACCGGCCACAUUGGGACUGAGAUACGGCCCAGACUCAUACGGGAGGCAGCAGUGGGGAAUAUUGCACAAUGGGCGGAAGCCUGAUGCAGCAACGCCGCGUGCGGGAUGACGGCCUUCGGGUUGUAAACCGCUUUCGCCUGUGAAGAAGAGUGAGUGACGGUAAUGGGUAAAGAAGCACCGGCUAACUACGUG